RNAcentral lists this ribosomal RNA (760 nucleotides) under uncultured Cortinarius. RNAcentral's name for it is "eukaryotic LSU rRNA". The stretch from base 279 to 432 matches the Rfam family "5.8S ribosomal RNA". The record is from RNAcentral. Lineage: Eukaryota; Fungi; Basidiomycota; Agaricomycetes; Agaricales; Cortinariaceae.
AGUCGUAACAAGGUUUCCGUAGGUGAACCUGCGGAAGGAUCAUUAUUGAAAUAAACCUGAUGGGUUGCUGCUGGCUCUCUCGGGAGCAUGUGCACACUUGUCAUCUUUAUAUCUCCACCUGUGCACCUUUUGUAGAUCUGGAUAUCUUUCUGAAUGCCUGCAUUCAGGUUUGAGGAUUGACUUGUCUUUCCUUACAUUUCCAGGCCUANGUUUCUUCAUAUACACCAUGUAUGUUAUAGAAUGUAAUGAAAAGGGCCUUUGUGCCUACAAACUUAUACAACUUUCAGCAACGGAUCUCUUGGCUCUCGCAUCGAUGAAGAACGCAGCGAAAUGCGAUAAGUAAUGUGAAUUGCAGAAUUCAGUGAAUCAUCGAAUCUUUGAACGCACCUUGCGCUCCUUGGUAUUCCGAGGAGCAUGCCUGUUUGAGUGUCAUUAAUAUAUCAACCUCCUCAGGUUUUUACUUGUCGAGUGUUUGGAUGUGGGGGUUUUUUUUGCUGGUCUCUUUUGAGAUCGGCUCCCCUGAAAUGCAUUAGCGGAACAAUUUGUUGACCCGUUCAUUGGUGUGAUAACUAUCUACGCUAUUGACGUGAAGCAGGUUCAGCUUCUAACAGUCCAUUAACUUGGACAAAUUUUCAUUAAUGUGACCUCAAAUCAGGUAGGACUACCCGCUGAACUUAAGCAUAUCAAUAAGCGGAGGAAAAGAAACUAACAAGGAUUCCCCUAGUAACUGCGAGUGAAGCGGGAAAAGCUCAAAUUUAAA